AUAAAAUAUUUUUUUAAAAAGAAUUUCAAAAAUAUAUUUAUAGUUUUAUAUUUAAAACCUCAAAUCAUCGAAUGCAGAGCAGAUCCGGGUCAAAUGAAUUUAUGCCGAGCCAAAAUAAAAAAUCUGAGCUGUUCAUAAUAUUUUGCAUAGUAUCAAAGACACUAGGUGUUGAUAUGAACUUUAACUAUUACAGGGAAAAGAAAAUAGAAAAG
Molecule: long non-coding RNA, 212 nt
Organism: Gordionus sp. m RMFG-2023
Lineage: Eukaryota; Metazoa; Nematomorpha; Gordioida; Chordodea; Parachordodidae
Exons: 3
Source: RefSeq, a predicted model, not a curated record